This 409-nucleotide ribosomal RNA is filed under the name bacterium enrichment culture clone ALO1_GLFRUDD03FPVHA. RNAcentral describes it as "bacterial SSU rRNA". It matches the Rfam family "Bacterial small subunit ribosomal RNA", at positions 9 to 417 of the family's 1533-position model. The record is from RNAcentral.
GAGUUUGAUCUUGGCUACAGAUUGAACGCUGGCGGCAUGCCUUACACAUGCAAGUCGAACGGCAGCACGGGAGCUUGCUCCUGGUGGCGAGUGGCGAACGGGUGAGUAAUGCAUCGGAACGUAUCCUGGAGUGGGGGAUAACGUAGCGAAAGUUACGCUAAUACCGCAUAUUCUGUGAGCAGGAAAGCGGGGGACCUUCGGGCCUCGCGCUCUUGGAGCGGCCGAUGUCGGAUUAGCUAGUUGGUGAGGUAAAGGCUCACCAAGGCGACGAUCCGUAGCAGGUCUGAGAGGAUGAUCUGCCACACUGGAACUGAGACACGGUCCAGACUCCUACGGGAGGCAGCAGUGGGGAAUUUUGGACAAUGGGGGCAACCCUGAUCCAGCCAUGCCGCGUGAGUGAAGAAGGCCU